CCUACGGGAGGCAGCAGUAAGGAAUAUUGGUCAAUGGACGCAAGUCUGAACCAGCCAUGCCGCGUGGAGGAUGAAGGUCCUCUGGAUUGUAAACUUCUUUUAUUUGGGAAGAAAUCUAUCUUUUCUUGGAUAGUUGACGGUACCAGAUGAAUAAGCACCGGCUAACUCCGUGCCAGCAGCCGCGGUAAU
RNAcentral lists this ribosomal RNA (189 nucleotides) under uncultured Niastella sp. Its description in RNAcentral is "partial 16S ribosomal RNA". It matches the Rfam family "Bacterial small subunit ribosomal RNA", at positions 338 to 524 of the family's 1533-position model. Lineage: Bacteria; Pseudomonadati; Bacteroidota; Chitinophagia; Chitinophagales; Chitinophagaceae. The record is from RNAcentral.